Molecule: ribosomal RNA, 1019 nt
Filed under: uncultured bacterium
Lineage: Bacteria
Also listed under: 1 other name
Description: bacterial SSU rRNA
Rfam family: Bacterial small subunit ribosomal RNA
Source: RNAcentral
UGAGGAAUAUUGGUCAAUGGGCGAUGGCCUGAACCAGCCAAGUAGCGUGAAGGAUGACUGCCCUAUGGGUUGUAAACUUCUUUUAUAAAGGAAUAAAGUCGGGUAUGCAUACCCGUUUGCAUGUACUUUAUGAAUAAGGAUCGGCUAACUCCGUGCCAGCAGCCGCGGUAAUACGGAGGAUCCGAGCGUUAUCCGGAUUUAUUGGGUUUAAAGGGAGCGUAGAUGGAUGUUUAAGUCAGUUGUGAAAGUUUGCGGCUCAACCGUAAAAUUGCAGUUGAUACUGGAUGUCUUGAGUGCAGUUGAGGCAGGCGGAAUUCGUGGUGUAGCGGUGAAAUGCUUAGAUAUCACGAAGAACUCCGAUUGCGAAGGCAGCCUGCUAAGCUGCAACUGACAUUGAGGCUCGAAAGUGUGGGUAUCAAACAGGAUUAGAUACCCUGGUAGUCCACACGGUAAACGAUGAAUACUCGCUGUUUGCGAUAUACGGCAAGCGGCCAAGCGAAAGCGUUAAGUAUUCCACCUGGGGAGUACGCCGGCAACGGUGAAACUCAAAGGAAUUGACGGGGGCCCGCACAAGCGGAGGAACAUGUGGUUUAAUUCGAUGAUACGCGAGGAACCUUACCCGGGCUUAAAUUGCACUCGAAUGAUCCGGAAACGGUUCAGCUAGCAAUAGCGAGUGUGAAGGUGCUGCAUGGUUGUCGUCAGCUCGUGCCGUGAGGUGUCGGCUUAAGUGCCAUAACGAGCGCAACCCUUGUUGUCAGUUACUAACAGGUGAUGCUGAGGACUCUGACAAGACUGCCAUCGUAAGAUGUGAGGAAGGUGGGGAUGACGUCAAAUCAGCACGGCCCUUACGUCCGGGGCUACACACGUGUUACAAUGGGGGGUACAGAGGGCCGCUACCACGCGAGUGGAUGCCAAUCCCUAAAACCCCUCUCAGUUCGGACUGGAGUCUGCAACCCGACUCCACGAAGCUGGAUUCGCUAGUAAUCGCGCAUCAGCCACGGCGCGGUGAAUACGUUCCC